Molecule: ribosomal RNA, 385 nt
Filed under: uncultured cyanobacterium
Lineage: Bacteria; Bacillati; Cyanobacteriota
Description: bacterial SSU rRNA
Rfam family: Bacterial small subunit ribosomal RNA
Source: RNAcentral
GGGAAUCUUCCGCAAUGGGCGAAAGCCUGACGGAGCAACGCCGCGUGAGGGAUGAAGGCCUCUGGGCUGUAAACCUCUUUUCUCAAGGAAGAAGAUCUGACGGUACUUGAGGAAUAAGCCACGGCUAAUUCCGUGCCAGCAGCCGCGGUAAUACGGGAGUGGCAAGCGUUAUCCGGAAUUAUUGGGCGUAAAGCGUCCGCAGGCGGCCUUGUAAGUCUGUCGUUAAAGCGUGGAGCUUAACUCCAUUUCAGCGGUGGAAACUACAAGGCUUGAGUGUGGUAGGGGCAGAGGGAAUUCCCGGUGUAGCGGUGAAAUGCGUAGAUAUCGGGGAAGGAACACCAGUGGCGGAAGGCGCUUCUGCUGGGCCAUAACUGACGCUCAUGAC